AGAGUUUGAUCCUGGCUCAGGACGAACGCUGGCGGCGUGCCUAAUACAUGCAAGUCGAGCGGACGGAUGGGAGCUUGCUCCCUGAAGUCAGCGGCGGACGGGUGAGUAACACGUGGGCAACCUGCCUGUAAGACUGGGAUAACUCCGGGAAACCGGGGCUAAUACCGGAUAACUCUUUUCCUCACAUGAGGAAAAGCUGAAAGAUGGUUUCGGCUAUCACUUACAGAUGGGCCCGCGGCGCAUUAGCUAGUUGGUGAGGUAACGGCUCACCAAGGCCACGAUGCGUAGCCGACCUGAGAGGGUGAUCGGCCACACUGGGACUGAGACACGGCCCAGACUCCUACGGGAGGCAGCAGUAGGGAAUCUUCCGCAAUGGACGAAAGUCUGACGGAGCAACGCCGCGUGAGUGAUGAAGGUUUUCGGAUCGUAAAACUCUGUUGUCAGGGAAGAACAAGUACCGGAGUAACUGCCGGUACCUUGACGGUACCUGACCAGAAAGCCACGGCUAACUACGUGCCAGCAGCCGCGGUAAU
RNAcentral lists this ribosomal RNA (533 nucleotides) under Cytobacillus firmus. RNAcentral describes it as "bacterial SSU rRNA". It matches the Rfam family "Bacterial small subunit ribosomal RNA", at positions 8 to 524 of the family's 1533-position model. Lineage: Bacteria; Bacillati; Bacillota; Bacilli; Caryophanales; Bacillaceae. RNAcentral also lists the same sequence under 1 other name. The record is from RNAcentral.